Molecule: non-coding RNA, 255 nt
Organism: Pelobates cultripes (western spadefoot toad)
Lineage: Eukaryota; Metazoa; Chordata; Amphibia; Anura; Pelobatidae
Source: the annotation of a GenBank genome assembly
GUUUGUGUUGUUUCCCAUUUUGUGUAUAUUUCUGUGGCAGCUGACAAUAGACAAUGCCUGUUUCAAAAUAUAGUUGUUGUUGUUUUUUUUGCGUGGUUAACUAUUUACUUUCAGUAAAAAAUAUACAGUUGUACAGAACAAACCCAAGUACUAUGUCUUUUUCCACAGGAUGACAAUAUAAAGUUACAUUAUCUUUAAUUUCCUUACAUAAAAUGUUUGUGUUUUAUAAUGAGAUUUUUGCUUACAUGAAUCACA